Molecule: ribosomal RNA, 253 nt
Filed under: uncultured bacterium
Lineage: Bacteria
Description: partial 16S ribosomal RNA
Rfam family: Bacterial small subunit ribosomal RNA
Source: RNAcentral
UACGUAGGGUGCAAGCGUUGUCCGGAAUUAUUGGGCGUAAAGAGCUUGUAGGCGGUUUGUCGCGUCUGCUGUGAAAUUUCGGGGCUCAACCCCGAACUUGCAGUGGGUACGGGCAGACUAGAGUGUGGGAGGGGAGACUGGAAUUCCUGGUGUAGCGGUGAAAUGCGCAGAUAUCAGGAGGAACACCGAUGGCGAAGGCAGGUCUCUGGGCCACUACUGACGCUGAGAAGCGAAAGCGUGGGGAGCGAACAGG